This is a non-coding RNA of Podarcis lilfordi (Lilford's wall lizard), 69 nucleotides long. Lineage: Eukaryota; Metazoa; Chordata; Lepidosauria; Squamata; Lacertidae. The record is from the annotation of a GenBank genome assembly.
GCUGUAGCUCAGUGGUUCAAAAUGCGCCUUGAAUGCAGAAGGUUCCUGGUUCAAUUCCUGGCAUCUCCA